This 425-nucleotide ribosomal RNA is filed under the name uncultured soil bacterium. Its description in RNAcentral is "bacterial SSU rRNA". It matches the Rfam family "Bacterial small subunit ribosomal RNA", at positions 26 to 441 of the family's 1533-position model. The record is from RNAcentral.
AGGACGAACGCUGGCGGCGUGCUUAACACAUGCAAGUCGAGCGGAAAGGCCACUUCGGUGGUACUCGAGCGGCGAACGGGUGAGUAACACGUGAGUAAUCUGCCCUCCACUUUGGGAUAGCCACCGGAAACGGUGAUUAAUACCGGAUAUGACCUUGGCCCGCAUGGGUUGUGGUGGAAAGUUUUUCGGUGGGGGAUGUGCUCGCGGCCUAUCAGCUUGAUGGUGGGGUAAUGGCCUACCAUGGCUUCGACGGGUAGCCGGCCUGAGAGGGUGACCGGCCACACUGGGACUGAGACACGGCCCCAGUACUCCGUACGGGAGGCCAGCCAGUGGGGGAAUAUUGGAACAACGUGGGGCGGAAGCCUGAUCCAGCCAACGCCGCGGUGAGGGACGUGACGGCCGUUCGGUGUUAACCGUACUUCGUA